UCCGUAGGAACAUCCGAGGCGAAGGCGGCUCGCUGGAUCACAACUGACGCUGAGGGACGAAAGCUAGGGGAGCAAACAGGAUUAGAUACCCUGGUAGUCCUAGCCCUAAACCAUCAGGACUUGGGGUUUGCCCUGUACGGGGCAAGUCCCGUAGCUAACGCGUUAAGUCCUGCGCCUGGGGAGUACGGUCGCAAGACUGAAACUCAAAGGAAUUGACGGGGGCCCGCACAAGCGGUGGAACAUGUGGUUCAAUUCGACGCAACGCGAAGAACCUUACCUGGGCUUGAACCGCACAGGACCAUCUUUGGAAACAGAGACUUCUCGCAAGAGACCUGUGUAGAGGUGCUGCAUGGCUGUCGUCAGCUCGUGCCGUGAGGUGUUGGGUUAAGUCUCGCAACGAGCGCAACCCUUACUCGUAGUUGCCACCCGCAAGGGGGAACUCUACGAGGACUGCUCCGGAUAACGGAGAGGAAGGUGGGGAUGAGGUCAAGUCAGCAUGGCCUUUAUGUCCAGGGCCACACACGUGUUACAAUGCGCGCCACAAAGCGUUGCAAGCCCGCGAGGGGGAGCCAAUCGCUAAAAGCCGGUCUAAGUGCGGAUCGGAGUCUGCAACUCGACUCCGCGAAGUCGGAAUCGCUAGUAAUCGUGGAUCAGCCACGCCACGGUGAAUACGUUCCCGGGCCUUGUACACACCGCCCGUCACGCCAUGGAAGCUGGAGGGACCCGAAGCCGGUGGGCGAACCGCAAGGACGCAGCCGUCUAAG
Molecule: ribosomal RNA, 764 nt
Filed under: uncultured bacterium
Lineage: Bacteria
Description: bacterial SSU rRNA
Rfam family: Bacterial small subunit ribosomal RNA
Source: RNAcentral